GGAGAUUUAGCUCAGUGGUAGAGCGCUUGCCUAGCAAGCGCAAGGCCCUGGGUUCAGUCCCCAGUUCCA
This 69-nucleotide transfer RNA is filed under the name Rattus norvegicus (Norway rat). It matches the Rfam family "tRNA". From Rfam's summary of the family: Transfer RNA (tRNA) molecules are approximately 80 nucleotides in length. Their secondary structure includes four short double-helical elements and three loops (D, anti-codon, and T loops). Lineage: Eukaryota; Metazoa; Chordata; Mammalia; Rodentia; Muridae. The record is from Rfam by way of RNAcentral.